GACGAACGCUGGCGGCGUGCUUAACACAUGCAAGUCGAACGAAGAGCGAUGGAAGCUUGCUUCUAUCAAUCUUAGUGGCGAACGGGUGAGUAACGCGUAAUCAACCUGCCCUUCAGAGGGGGACAACAGUUGGAAACGACUGCUAAUACCGCAUACGAUCUAAUCUCGGCAUCGAGGAUAGAUGAAAGGUGGCCUCUACAUGUAAGCUAUCACUGAAGGAGGGGAUUGCGUCUGCUUAGCUAGUUGGAGGGGUAACGGCCCACCAAGGCGAUGAUCAGUAGCCGGUCUGAGAGGAUGAACGGCCACAUUGGGACUGAGACGCGGCCCAGACUCCUACGGGAGGCAGCAGUGGGGAAUCUUCCGCAAUGGACGAAAGUCUGACGGAGCAACGCCGCGUGAGUGAUGACGGCCUUCGGGUUGUAAAGCUCUGUUAAUCGGGACGAAAGGCCUUCUUGCGAAUAGUGAGAAGGAUUGACGGUACCGGAAUAGAAAGCCACGGCUAACUACGUG
This 510-nucleotide ribosomal RNA is filed under the name uncultured bacterium. RNAcentral's name for it is "partial 16S ribosomal RNA". It matches the Rfam family "Bacterial small subunit ribosomal RNA", at positions 28 to 507 of the family's 1533-position model. The record is from RNAcentral.